Molecule: ribosomal RNA, 433 nt
Filed under: uncultured bacterium
Lineage: Bacteria
Description: partial 16S ribosomal RNA
Rfam family: Bacterial small subunit ribosomal RNA
Source: RNAcentral
AGCGAACGCUGGCGGCAUGCUUAACACAUGCAAGUCGCACGGGCAGCACUGUCAGUGGCGGACGGGUGAGUAGCGCGUAGAAACAUGUGCUGAGGUGGGGGACAACGACGGGAAAAUGAGGCUAAUACCGCAUAUAGGAUGAGGCCCAAAGCCGAGAGGCGCCUUUGGAGCGGCCUGCGUCCGGUUAGGUAGUUGGUGGGGUAAAGGCAUACCAAGCCUGCGAUCGGUAGCUGGUCUGAGACGACGACGAGCCACACUGGGACAGAGACACGGCCCAGACUCCUGCGGGAGGCAGCAGUGGGGAAUAUUGGACAAUGGGCGAGAGCGUGAUCCAGCAAUGCCGCGUGGGUGAAGAAGGUAUUCGGAUCGUAAAGCCCUUUCGACGGGGAAGAUGAUGACGGUACCCGUAGAAGAAGCCCCGGCUAACUUCGUG